This 199-nucleotide small RNA is filed under the name Arabidopsis thaliana (thale cress). RNAcentral describes it as "ATSL081670". Lineage: Eukaryota; Viridiplantae; Streptophyta; Magnoliopsida; Brassicales; Brassicaceae. The record is from RNAcentral.
AAAUUUAUUUUAUUAAUGUGGAUCUUAUUUAUGAUAUGUUUAUGAAUCAUUGUCUAAAUAUUUAAUCGAUGCAGGAUGGUGAACCCACACAUUUUUCGCCAAUUGGUUAAUAUAUGUUCAUUUUUAAAAUUUCGAAUCACAAAAUAUGACGGAAAUUUUUUUGAGAUUUUUUUAAACUCUAUAUAUUGUAUAAUGAUGU